This 393-nucleotide ribosomal RNA is filed under the name uncultured bacterium. Its description in RNAcentral is "partial 16S ribosomal RNA". It matches the Rfam family "Bacterial small subunit ribosomal RNA", at positions 523 to 918 of the family's 1533-position model. The record is from RNAcentral.
AUACGGAGGAUCCAAGCGUUAUCCGGAUUUAUUGGGUUUAAAGGGAGCGUAGGUUGAUAUAUAAGUCAGCUGUGAAAGUUUACGGCUCAACCGUGAAAUUGCAGUUGAUACUGUAUGUCUUGAGUGUACAAGAGGUGGGCGGAAUUCGUGGUGUAGCGGUGAAAUGCUUAGAUAUCACGAAGAACUCCAAUUGCGAAGGCAGCUCACUGGGGUACAACUGACACUGAGGCUCGAAAGUGUGUGUAUCAAACAGGAUUAGAUACGCUGGUAGUCCGCACGGUAAACGAUGAUUACCCGCUGUCGGCGGUAGACAGUCGGCGGCCAAGCGAAAGCGAUAAGUAAUCCACCUGGGGAGUACGCCGGCAACGGUGAAACUCAAAGGAAUUGACGGGG